Molecule: microRNA, 22 nt
Filed under: Macaca mulatta (Rhesus monkey)
Lineage: Eukaryota; Metazoa; Chordata; Mammalia; Primates; Cercopithecidae
Description: mml-miR-7174-5p
Source: miRBase by way of RNAcentral
AGGAGUGACAGAGUUAGACUCU